This 253-nucleotide ribosomal RNA is filed under the name uncultured bacterium. RNAcentral's name for it is "partial 16S ribosomal RNA". It matches the Rfam family "Bacterial small subunit ribosomal RNA", at positions 524 to 776 of the family's 1533-position model. The record is from RNAcentral.
UACGUAGGGGGCAAGCGUUAUCCGGAUUUACUGGGUGUAAAGGGAGCGUAGACGGUAUGGCAAGUCUGAAGUGAAAGCCCAGGGCUUAACCCUGGGACUGCUUUGGGAACUGUUAGACUAGAGUGCUGGAGAGGUAAGUGGAAUUCCUAGUGUAGCGGUGAAAUGCGUAGAUAUUAGGAGGAACACCAGUGGCGAAGGCGGCUUACUGGACAGUAACUGACGUUGAGGCUCGAAAGCGUGGGGAGCAAACAGG